This 433-nucleotide ribosomal RNA is filed under the name uncultured bacterium. Its description in RNAcentral is "partial 16S ribosomal RNA". It matches the Rfam family "Bacterial small subunit ribosomal RNA", at positions 29 to 507 of the family's 1533-position model. The record is from RNAcentral.
AACGAACGCUGGCGGCAUGCCUAACACAUGCAAGUCGAACGAGACCUUCGGGUCUAUUGGCGCACGGGUGCGUAACGCGUGGGAACCUGCCCUUAGGUUCGGAAUAACUCCCCGAAAGGGGUGCUAAUACCGGAUAAUGUCUUCGGACCAAAGAUUUAUCGCCUUUGGAUGGGCCCGCGUUGGAUUAGCUAGUUGGUAGGGUAAAAGCCUACCAAGGCGACGAUCCUUAGCUGGUCUGAGAGGAUGAUCAGCCACACUGGGACUGAGACACGGCCCAGACUCCUACGGGAGGCAGCAGUGGGGAAUAUUGGACAAUGGGCGGAAGCCUGAUCCAGCGAUGCCGCGUGAGUGAUGAAGGCCUUAGAGUUGUAAAGCUCUUUUAUACGGGAUGAUAAUGACAGUACCGGGAGAAUAAGCUCCGGCUAACUCCGUG